AGUGAACGCUGGCGGUAGGCCUAACACAUGCAAGUCGAACGGCAGCACAGUAAGAGCUUGCUCUUACGGGUGGCGAGUGGCGGACGGGUGAGGAAUACAUCGGAAUCUACUUUUUCGUGGGGGAUAACGUAGGGAAACUUACGCUAAUACCGCAUACGACCUACGGGUGAAAGCAGGGGUCUUCGGACCUUGCGCGAUUGAAUGAGCCGAUGUCGGAUUAGCUAGUUGGCGGGGUAAAGGCCCACCAAGGCGACGAUCCGUAGCUGGUCUGAGAGGAUGAUCAGCCACACUGGAACUGAGACACGGUCCAGACUCCUACGGGAGGCAGCAGUGGGGAAUAUUGGACAAUGGGCGCAAGCCUGAUCCAGCCAUACCGCGUGGGUGAAGAAGGCCUUCGGGUUGUAAAGCCCUUUUGUUGGGAAAGAAAAGCAGCAGGUUAAUACCCCGCUGUUCUGACGGUACCCAAAGAAUAAGCACCGGCUAACUUCGUG
This 491-nucleotide ribosomal RNA is filed under the name uncultured bacterium. RNAcentral describes it as "partial 16S ribosomal RNA". It matches the Rfam family "Bacterial small subunit ribosomal RNA", at positions 29 to 507 of the family's 1533-position model. The record is from RNAcentral.